CGGGGGGCAGCAGUGGGGAAUAUUGGACAAUGGGCGAAAGCCUGAUCCAGCAAUACCGCGUGUGUGAAGAAGGCCUUCGGGUUGUAAAGCACUUUAAGUUGGGAAGAAAAAACUUCAAUUAAUACUUGAAGUCUUGACGGUACCGACAGAAUAAGCACCGGCUAACUCUGUGCCAGCAGCCGCGGUAAUACAGAGGGUGCUAGCGUUAAUCGGAUUUACUGGGCGUAAAGCGUGCGUAGGCGGUUUGAUAAGUCGAUUGUGAAAGCCCUGGGCUCAACCUAGGAAUUGCGGUCGAUACUGUCAGACUAGAAAACGGUAGAGGGAGGCGGAACUCCAGGUGUAGCGGUGAAAUGCGUAGAUAUCUGGAAGAACACCGAUGGCGAAGGCAACCUCCUGGGCCUGUUUUGACGCUGAGGCACGAAAGCGUGGGUAGCAAACAGGAUUAGAUACCCCGGU
Molecule: ribosomal RNA, 456 nt
Filed under: uncultured Nevskia sp.
Lineage: Bacteria; Pseudomonadati; Pseudomonadota; Gammaproteobacteria; Nevskiales; Nevskiaceae
Description: bacterial SSU rRNA
Rfam family: Bacterial small subunit ribosomal RNA
Source: RNAcentral